GCCGAGAUAGCUCAGUCGGUAGAGCACCCCCAUGGUAAGGGGGAGGUCCCGAGUUCGAUCCUCGGUCUCGGCUCCA
RNAcentral lists this transfer RNA (76 nucleotides) under Minisyncoccota bacterium. Its description in RNAcentral is "tRNA-Thr". It matches the Rfam family "tRNA". Rfam says of the family: Transfer RNA (tRNA) molecules are approximately 80 nucleotides in length. Their secondary structure includes four short double-helical elements and three loops (D, anti-codon, and T loops). The record is from RNAcentral. Lineage: Bacteria; Bacillati; Minisyncoccota.